GGGCCCUUAGCUCAUUUGGUAGAGCACCGCCUUUGCAAGGCGGGGGUGGUCGGUUCGAGCCCGACAGGGUCCACCA
Molecule: transfer RNA, 76 nt
Filed under: Patescibacteria group bacterium
Lineage: Bacteria
Description: tRNA-Ala
Rfam family: tRNA
About the family: Transfer RNA (tRNA) molecules are approximately 80 nucleotides in length. Their secondary structure includes four short double-helical elements and three loops (D, anti-codon, and T loops).
Source: RNAcentral